This 494-nucleotide ribosomal RNA is filed under the name uncultured bacterium. RNAcentral describes it as "partial 16S ribosomal RNA". It matches the Rfam family "Bacterial small subunit ribosomal RNA", at positions 28 to 507 of the family's 1533-position model. The record is from RNAcentral.
GACGAACGCUGGCGGCGUGCUUAACACAUGCAAGUCGAACGGAAAGGCCUGCUUUCCCUUGUGGAUUGCGGGUACUCGAGUGGCGAACGGGUGAGUAACACGUGAGUGAUCUGCCCCCAACUUGGGUAUAAGCCUGGGAAACUGGGUCUAAUUCCCGAUAGGACUGCAGGGUGGUGCCUGUGGUGGAAAACGAUUUUCUAGUGGUUGGGGAUGAGCUCGCGGCCUAUCAGCUUGUUGGUGGGGUAAUGGCCUACCAAGGCGGCGACGGGUAGCCGGCCUGGGAGGGUGGACGGCCACAUUGGGACUGAGAUACGGCCCAGACUCCUACGGGAGGCAGCAGUGGGGAAUAUUGCACAAUGGGCGGAAGCCUGAUGCAGCGACGCCGCGUGGGGGAUGUCGGCCUUCGGGUUGUAAACUCCUUUCGACCGCGAGGAAGCCACCUGGUUGGAAGGGUGGUGACGGUAGUGGUAGAAGAAGCACCGGCUAACUACGUG